RNAcentral lists this ribosomal RNA (592 nucleotides) under uncultured bacterium. RNAcentral's name for it is "bacterial SSU rRNA". It matches the Rfam family "Bacterial small subunit ribosomal RNA", at positions 356 to 948 of the family's 1533-position model. The record is from RNAcentral.
GAGGAAUAUUGGUCAAUGGGCGAGAGCUGAACCAGCCAAGUAGCGUGCAGGAAGACGGCCCUAUGGGUUGUAAACUGCUUUUGUGCGGGAAUAAAGCGGGUCACGUGUGGCCCUUUGCAUGUACCGUACGAAUAAGGACCGGCUAAUUCCGUGCCAGCAGCCGCGGUAAUACGGAAGGUCCGGGCGUUAUCCGGAUUUAUUGGGUUUAAAGGGAGCGUAGGCCGUCUCAAAAGCGUGUUGUGAAAUGUCCGGGCUCAACCGGGGCCGUGCAGCGCGAACUGUGAGACUUGAGUGUGCGGAAGGUAUGCGGAAUUCGUGGUGUAGCGGUGAAAUGCAUAGAUAUCACGAAGAACUCCGAUUGCGAAGGCAGCAUGCCGCAGCAUUACUGACGCUGAUGCUCGAAGGUGCGGGUAUCGAACAAGAUUAGAUACCCUGGUAGUCCGCACAGUAAACGAUGGAUGCCCGCUGUGAGCCUGUUUAAUGGUUUGCCGGCAAGCGAAAGCGUUAAGCAUCCCACCUGGGGAGUACGCCGGCAACGGUGAAACUCAAAGGAUUGACCGGGGGCCGCAUAAGCGGAGGAACAUGUGGUUAA